GAGGAGAGAAGUGAUAAGUGAUGGGGUGGGGGGAUGGAGGUGAUGGGGGGGCCCGAGAGGAGAGGUGGAGGAGAGAGGAUCCUGGAGGUGCGGAGGCACUGGCCUUUCUCAGCCCCGCCAACGCCUCCUCCCGCCGAGGUGGGCCAGCUGGAAGGCUGCCAAGUGCGCGCCCGCCGGGCUCGCCCCGGGCGAGCCCAGCGCUCGCCGGCGACGUGGAAAACCUCGAGAGUUUUAAGACGUCAGGGCGAAUCGCGAGGUGCUUUGGGGAACGCCGCACGGGGGCCUCGGGGUCCCGCGGAGUUUUUGGGGACGCACCAGGCCGCGUCGGGAUGCCCCGCUCGGGAGGCCGCAGCCUGGGGGCCGCUCACACUCUGUUGGCAUCUGUCCGCGCCUGUGUACGUGGCUCUUGACGUGGAGAGCUGUGCCUGUGGACAGCGUGCACCGGAGGGAGGGACGAAAGGAUGAGGCCUUGGCCCAACCUCUGUGCCCUGGGAGUCCCAAAGCCACUGCUAUUUUGUCAGAUUAACCCCCCAGACCCACGAGGAAAUCCUUGAGGCUUCGGGGAACGUGGGAUUUGUAGUGCCGCUGGUUCCAGAUGGUUCCUCCUUCAGACUUUGGCAAAUCGGCAUCCCAAAGAUUUCCUCUUAUCCUUCUGCUGUGUUGAGCAGACAUUACCCAGACACGGCGCCCGGAUCUCUGCUCUUCAUAAAGAAUAGAUCCUGUGAGCACACAGCAAGAUGGCAGCUGCUGACGAGCCAGGAAGAGAAGUCUCACCAGAAACUGACCGUGCUGGUACCCUGAUCCUGGACUUCCAGCCUCCAGAACUCACAAGAUUUCUCCUUCUGCUCCCCAGAGGAAAAAGAAACCUUUGGAGACGAGCUCCUGCAACGCCCUGCUUCUCGUUUGUCUCUCUCUGCAUUUCUCUUUCCUCGUUGUUAAACCAGAGGGGCGUUCCUCCUUUUAUCCCAGGCCAAUCUCUCUAUCUCUUAUCUGGAUCUCAUCACCUCCCAUAUGCCCAGGAACUGUGUUCCUUUGAUUAUCCUCUCUCUUUAUUUCAGCCUCUCCCUUCACAUCAAUAUAUAAUUGUGCUCAGAAUGUCCUUUUUUG
This 1107-nucleotide long non-coding RNA is filed under the name Equus asinus (donkey). RNAcentral's name for it is "lncRNA (ENSEASG00005036580.1)". Lineage: Eukaryota; Metazoa; Chordata; Mammalia; Perissodactyla; Equidae. The record is from RNAcentral.